Molecule: ribosomal RNA, 252 nt
Filed under: uncultured bacterium
Lineage: Bacteria
Description: partial 16S ribosomal RNA
Rfam family: Bacterial small subunit ribosomal RNA
Source: RNAcentral
UACGUAGGGGGCAAGCGUUAUCCGGAAUUACUGGGCGUAAAGGGUGCGUAGGUGGUUUCUUAAGUCAGAGGUGAAAGGCUACGGCUCAACCGUAGUAAGCCUUUGAAACUGGGGAACUUGAGUGCAGGAGAGGAGAGUGGAAUUCCUAGUGUAGCGGUGAAAUGCGUAGAUAUUAGGAGGAACACCAGUUGCGAAGGCGGCUCUCUGGACUGUAACUGACACUGAGGCACGAAAGCGUGGGGAGCAAACAGG